Molecule: long non-coding RNA, 215 nt
Filed under: Theobroma cacao (cacao)
Lineage: Eukaryota; Viridiplantae; Streptophyta; Magnoliopsida; Malvales; Malvaceae
Description: long non-coding RNA (TCAC_LNC002220)
Source: RNAcentral
UUUUUUUCUCUCUCUUCCUCCUUCCCCCAUUUUCCUCAGCAGAUUCAACCUUCCUGAAAAUCAUAUUCUCUCUCAGCCGACCGUCUUCCUCUCCUCUAUCAGCCACCCUUCCCCCGUGUUCAUCUCCUCUCUCAGCCAGUCAUCCUUCCUCCUUCUUCAUCUCCUCUCUCAGCUGGUCAUCUUCCUCUCUCUCAGCCGUGGGUCUUCCCCUCGCU